CUUUUGCUCGAGCUCCACUUCCUCAAGGUUGCAAACACAAUUCCUAAAUACUAGGCUAAAUUACUCUCAUCGUCCCUAGACUUUGGGCCGAUAUCAGUAAAGUCUCUAAUCUUUAAUUUGUAACAAUAAACCGUCUAAAUUUUCAAUUUCAGUAUCGCAAAACGUAUCAUUUUUUGGCAAAAAAAUUACCAGAAUGAUGAUGUGGCAUGCCACGGGUAAAUGAAUUAGAAAUAAAUUAAAUAAAAAUUAAUGGAUUAAAUUAUAAUUUUUAUUUAUUUCUAAAAAUUAAUAAAAAAUUAACAAAAAGAUCAUCUCCUUCAUUUUUUUUCUCUCUCCUCACUGUUCUUUCUUUUCCCUCCGCUAAUUUUUAUUUUCUGAUCAAAUCAAGUGGCGCUACCACCAUAGAAGCGAAGCCCAUGUAACAGACAGUCUAUCUAUACCGUUAUUGAAGAGUACCAGAACUGGACGAGUGAAAAAUCAGCAUUCAAAGCUUAAGAGUGUUGCUGCUUUCUUCUUCAAAUUCACCGCUUUCCACCACCGGUCGAUGCUGCCACUUUCAACAAUGAGUUUGCCUACCUCAACUUAGUGUCCCCCGAAAAUUAUAAUGUUUAUCUAGCCAUCCUCCACCUUCUACCAUUGAUGAGAGAGAGAGAAAGCUGGUAAGGAACCCCCGAAAGGGCUACCGUCCGAUGGGUACACGAAAGUGAUGAAGUUGCUUUGACUACAGAACCAUGCCUGUCUGUUGGAGCGAAUUGGGUGAUCGGGCUGAGGACUGCCCCCUCUUCCCUUCACUCUACUUUCCCU
RNAcentral lists this long non-coding RNA (804 nucleotides) under Ricinus communis (castor bean). RNAcentral describes it as "long non-coding RNA (RCOM_LNC000425)". The record is from RNAcentral. Lineage: Eukaryota; Viridiplantae; Streptophyta; Magnoliopsida; Malpighiales; Euphorbiaceae.